GACGAACGCUGGCGGCGUGCUUAACACAUGCAAGUCGAACGGAAAGGCCCUGCUUUUGUGGGGUGCUCGAGUGGCGAACGGGUGAGUAACACGUGAGUAACCUGCCCUUGACUUUGGGAUAACUUCAGGAAACUGGGGCUAAUACCGGAUAGGAGCUCCUGCUGCAUGGUGGGGGUUGGAAAGUUUCGGCGGUUGGGGAUGGACUCGCGGCUUAUCAGCUUGUUGGUGGGGUAGUGGCUUACCAAGGCUUUGACGGGUAGCCGGCCUGAGAGGGUGACCGGCCACAUUGGGACUGAGAUACGGCCCAGACUCCUACGGGAGGCAGCAGUGGGGAAUAUUGCACAAUGGGCGGAAGCCGGAUGCAGCAACGCCGCGUGCGGGAGGACGGCCUUCGGGUUGUAAACCGCUUUCGCCUGUGACGAAGCGUGAGUGACGGUAAUGGGGAAAGAAGCACCGGCUAACUACGG
This 467-nucleotide ribosomal RNA is filed under the name uncultured bacterium. RNAcentral describes it as "partial 16S ribosomal RNA". It matches the Rfam family "Bacterial small subunit ribosomal RNA", at positions 28 to 506 of the family's 1533-position model. The record is from RNAcentral.